Molecule: ribosomal RNA, 464 nt
Filed under: Vreelandella stevensii
Lineage: Bacteria; Pseudomonadati; Pseudomonadota; Gammaproteobacteria; Oceanospirillales; Halomonadaceae
Description: partial 16S ribosomal RNA
Rfam family: Bacterial small subunit ribosomal RNA
Source: RNAcentral
CUACGGGUGGCAGCAGUGGGGAAUAUUGGACAAUGGGCGAAAGCCUGAUCCAGCCAUGCCGCGUGUGUGAAGAAGGCCUUCGGGUUGUAAAGCACUUUCAGUGGGGAAGAAAGCCUUGGGGCUAAUACCCUCGAGGAAGGACAUCACCCACAGAAGAAGCACCGGCUAACUCCGUGCCAGCAGCCGCGGUAAUACGGAGGGUGCGAGCGUUAAUCGGAAUUACUGGGCGUAAAGCGCGCGUAGGCGGUCUGAUAAGCCGGUUGUGAAAGCCCCGGGCUCAACCUGGGAACGGCAUCCGGAACUGUCAGGCUAGAGUGCAGGAGAGGAAGGUAGAAUUCCCGGUGUAGCAGUGAAAUGCGUAGAGAUCGGGAGGAAUACCAGUGGCGAAGGCGGCCUUCUGGACUGACACUGACGCUGAGGUGCGAAAGCGUGGGUAGCAAACAGGAUUAGAUACCCGUGUAGUC